This 341-nucleotide ribosomal RNA is filed under the name Nematoda environmental sample. RNAcentral's name for it is "SSU rRNA". It matches the Rfam family "Eukaryotic small subunit ribosomal RNA", at positions 1300 to 1665 of the family's 1831-position model. The record is from RNAcentral. Lineage: Eukaryota; Metazoa; Nematoda.
GGUGGAGCGAUUUGUCUGGUUAAUUCCGAUAACGAACGAGACUCUGGCCUAUUAAAUAGACGGUAUAUUUACUAGUAUAUCGCGCUUCUUAGAGGGACAAGCGGCGUCUAGCCGCAUGAAAUAGAGCAAUAACAGGUCUGUGAUGCCCUUAGAUGUCCGGGGCUGCACGCGCGCUACACUGAAAGAAUCAGUGGGCGUUCUACCUAGUCCGGAAGGACCGGGUAACCCAAGUAAAUUCUUUCGUGCUUGGGAUAGGGAAUUGCAAUUAUUUCCCUUAAACGAGGAAUUCCCAGUAAAUGCGGGUCAUAAGCUCGCGUUGAAUACGUCCCUGCCCUUUGUAC